RNAcentral lists this ribosomal RNA (465 nucleotides) under uncultured bacterium. Its description in RNAcentral is "partial 16S ribosomal RNA". It matches the Rfam family "Bacterial small subunit ribosomal RNA", at positions 338 to 795 of the family's 1533-position model. The record is from RNAcentral.
CCUACGGGCGGCAGCAGUAGGGAAUCUUCCACAAUGGGCGAAAGCCUGAUGGAGCAACGCCGCGUGGGUGAAGAAGGUCUUCGGAUCGUAAAACCCUGUUGUUAGAGAAGAAAGUGCGUGAGAGUAACUGUUCACGUUUCGACGGUAUCUAACCAGAAAGCCACGGCUAACUACGUGCCAGCAGCCGCGGUAAUACGUAGGUGGCAAGCGUUAUCCGGCUUUACUGGGCGUAAAGGGAACGCAGGCGGUCUUUUAAGUCUGAUGUGAAAGCCUUCGGCUUAACCGGAGGAGUGCAUUGGAAACUGGGAGACGUGAGUUCAGAAGAGGAGAGUGGAACUCCAUGUGGAGCGGUGAAAUGCGUAGAUAUAUGGAAGAACACCAAGGGCGAAAGCAGCUCUCUGGUCUGUAAAUGACGCUGAGGUUCGAAAGCGUGGGUAGCAAACAGGAUUAGAUACCCGUGUAGUC